CUCCAGGCAAAUCCGGAUAAUCAAGGCUGAGGUGUGAUGACGAGGCACUACGGUGCUGAAGUAACAAAUGCCCUGCUUCCAGGAAAAGCCUCUAAGCAUCAGGUAACAUUAAAUCGUACCCCAAACCGACACAGGUGGUCAGGUAGAGAAUACCAAGGCGCUUGAGAGAACUCGGGUGAAGGAACUAGGCAAAAUGGUGCCGUAACUUCGGGAGAAGGCACGCUGGUGUGUAGGUGA
Molecule: ribosomal RNA, 237 nt
Filed under: Klebsiella pneumoniae
Lineage: Bacteria; Pseudomonadati; Pseudomonadota; Gammaproteobacteria; Enterobacterales; Enterobacteriaceae
Description: partial 23S ribosomal RNA
Rfam family: Bacterial large subunit ribosomal RNA
Source: RNAcentral